This 303-nucleotide unclassified non-coding RNA is filed under the name plant metagenome. RNAcentral describes it as "partial contains 5.8S ribosomal RNA, internal transcribed spacer 2, and large subunit ribosomal RNA". The stretch from base 1 to 105 matches the Rfam family "5.8S ribosomal RNA", at positions 50 to 154 of the family's 154-position model. The record is from RNAcentral.
GAAAUGCGAUAAGUAAUGUGAAUUGCAGAAUUCAGUGAAUCAUCGAAUCUUUGAACGCACAUUGCGCCCGCCAGUAUUCUGGCGGGCAUGCCUGUUCGAGCGUCAUUUCAACCAUCAAGCCCCGCGCUCGUGUUGGGGACCUGCGGCUGCCGCAGGCCCUGAAAACCAGUGGCGGGCUCGCUGUCACACCGGGCGUAGUAGAUUUUAUCUCGCUCAGGGCGUGCUGCGGGUUCCGGCCGUUAAAAAGCCUUUUUUACCCAAGGUUGACCUCGGAUCAGGUAGGAAGACCCGCUGAACUUAAGC